AUUGAACGCUGGCGGAAUGCUUUACACAUGCAAGUCGAACGGUAGAGGGGGCAACCCCUUGAGAGUGGCGAACGGGUGAGUAAUAUAUCGGAACGUGCCCAGUCGUGGGGGAUAACGUAGUGAAAAUUACGCUAAUACCGCAUACGAUCUAAGGAUGAAAGCGGGGGAUCGCAAGACCUCGCGCGAUUGGAGCGGCCGAUAUCAGAUUAGGUAGUUGGUAGGGUAAAGGCCUACCAAGCCAACGAUCUGUAGCUGGUCUGAGAGGACGACCAGCCACACUGGAACUGAGACACGGUCCAGACUCCUACGGGAGGCAGCAGUGGGAAUUUUGGACAAUGGGCGAAAGCCUGAUCCAGCCAUUCCGCGUGCAGGAUGAAGGCCCUCGGGUUGUAAACUGCUUUUGUACGGAACGAAAAGGUUUCUAUUAAUACUAGGAGCUCAUGACGGUACCGUAAGAAUAAGCACCGGCUAACUACGUG
RNAcentral lists this ribosomal RNA (479 nucleotides) under uncultured bacterium. RNAcentral describes it as "bacterial SSU rRNA". It matches the Rfam family "Bacterial small subunit ribosomal RNA", at positions 30 to 507 of the family's 1533-position model. The record is from RNAcentral.